UCCCAUGCCAGAGGGCUAGUGGGAUACUUAUUUAUACCGCUGCAGCAGUGCCGUACUUUAAGAUUGCCAAAGAACCAGGCAACGUGAGUAUCCAGGUGCACAGAAUCGUCAGGAAUUGUGGAUUCUAUCAGGAUGCAACACUGUAUUUAGUCAUCAUGACUCCUUCAUCACCUCCUGCUUUGACACUUUCAGAAUUUCUUCAUUUUAGAUGACCUUGGCAGUUUUUAGGAGUGCUGGUCAGGUAUUUUGUAAAAUGUUUCUCAUUUGGGAUUUGUCUGAUUUUUUCUCGUGAUUAGACUGAAGUUAAGAGUAAGAAGAAGACAACAGAGAUAAGGAGAUAGGAAGAAUUGAUUUGAGAUCGACUUGGAAAUCAGCUUCAUGGAAGUGAGAGUUGAUACUGUGAGAAACGAAAGUAUAAAGAGAGAUGAGAAGUACUUGGACUAAAGUUCAAAUAAUACCGACUUCUGGCAGAGAGCAAAAAGAAUGAACCAAGCAGAAGGGAACAGAAUCCGGAAUUGGCACUAUGUCAAACUGCACUGAUCCACCUCUCCAGGACUGGGAAAACUAGAAAUGAGCCGAUGAAAAUCAGGAGACUGAAGUAAAAUUAUGUCAUUUGCUUUUCUUAAAUGUCUAGUCAAUCGUUGUCUGUUUUUCUUGACCUGAUAUUUACAGAGUUGCUCAAUAAGUUCUAGUAGUUAAUACAAAGUCUUUUUGUUUGGUUUUUUUUUUUUUUUGGUCUAUGGACAUGAAAUAUGGAUAAAUGUAAGCCAAAGACUUUACAAGGAAAGGAGUUGUUUGUUCAUCCCAACUUACAAUAAAACUAAACAAAAAGUUAUUGACUGUCUUCCAUUAAUUAAAGCAGUUUCAUCUCCUAUGAGCACCCACUAAAUACCCUGAAUUUAUUCUAAAAACUUCAAACACUCAGCUCACCAGCUUUAGCCUGAUACUGUCCACCACCUGAACACAUUGAAUUUUUACCUAUUCCUGAAGGACACGUCCAACUCCCCUGGUUUUCCUGCUUACCUUUGUUUCUUUCUCCUUUCUCUUUCCUCAUCUCUUCCUCCUUCCAAUCCCUAGUAUCUUCUCUGAUAAAAUUAAUUGCUAGUAACAUUUACUGUCACUUUCAAACUGACCCUUUGGGCACCUUUAUCUGAGUAGAACCAGUUUAGUAAGUGUAAAUACAAUCAUUCAAUGAACAUAUAUUCCGAACCUACAUGUUACAGGGCACUGUACUAAGCUACAGAAAAACAAAGUUACAAUGAAGUGUUCGGUCUACUGCAGGAUAUCCCAUUUUUCCUGAAUUCAGUUUAAAUAUUCAGAUAACUAUGGCCAUACAAAAAGUAUUUCCCCCUGGUAGAGGCUGGGAGUGUAAGAACCAGCCUAUACUCUGUAGCUAAAAUUUGAAGAUAUAACUUCAAAUUUUAAGUUCAAGUUAUAGCUCCAAAUUUUAGCUACAGAGGAGCCAUUUGGAGUCAUCUGUCACACCUUAAAAACUCUAAACUCAAUAGCUUAUAAGAUCCUCAAGCGACUGAUAAAGAAGGCUGGACAAAUCAGGACCCCAC
This 1562-nucleotide long non-coding RNA is filed under the name Homo sapiens (human). RNAcentral describes it as "HSALNT0376011". Lineage: Eukaryota; Metazoa; Chordata; Mammalia; Primates; Hominidae. The record is from RNAcentral.